UACGUAGGUGGCAAGCGUUAUCCGGGAUUAUUGGGCGUAAAGCGCGCGCAGGCGGUUUCUUAAGUCUGAUGUGAAAGCCCACGGCUCAACCGUGGAGGGUCAUUGGAAACUGGGGAACUUGAGUGCAGAAGAGAAAAGCGGAAUUCCACGUGUAGCGGUGAAAUGCGUAGAGAUGUGGAGGAACACCAGUGGCGAAGGCGACUUUCUGGUCUGUAACUGACGCUGAGGCGCGAAAGCGUGGGGAGCAAACAGG
This 253-nucleotide ribosomal RNA is filed under the name uncultured bacterium. RNAcentral describes it as "partial 16S ribosomal RNA". It matches the Rfam family "Bacterial small subunit ribosomal RNA", at positions 524 to 776 of the family's 1533-position model. The record is from RNAcentral.